Molecule: regulatory RNA element, 84 nt
Rfam family: S10-Clostridia ribosomal protein leader
Source: Rfam
UGAUAGCGUAGAAACGUGAGGUUGCUGUGUCAAAUGAUACAGGUUUUCCGUGGAGCGAAUGUCAUGUUAUGAAACUGGCGACAA